Long non-coding RNA from Suricata suricatta (meerkat), 504 nucleotides. RefSeq lists it as uncharacterized. The record is from RefSeq and is a predicted model, not a curated record. NCBI's taxonomy places the organism in Eukaryota, Metazoa, Chordata, Mammalia, Carnivora, Herpestidae. The transcript has 3 exons.
GUCCUGCUGUGGACCACAGAGCCGAGGUUCUCCCACCCUGUGAAUACAGGCGUCCAGCGCUUUGAACAACUGAAUCUCGGGGGUCUUGGCCCUCGGUCUCCCACCGCUUUGGGAGUUCCCUGCGUUCUAGAAGUCUGAGGAGUUACUUCACACAGCAGAAAGACGGACGACGUCCGCCGUGGGAAUUACGAGGGUACAAGUUAAUGAUUCUGAUAACACUGUACUGGAAUCCUGGAAUUGAACAAUUAAGUAAAUGGAUGGCAGGAACAAGGUUUCUCACAGGUAGAGUGGGAAUUUACAGAAAAGGAAGAGACUAGAAGAGAUUAGAAUUGGAAAUAUCAGGAACCAGGGCUCCUUGGAAAAAUGGCUUACUACAGGACUGGAGCAGGAAAUAUACAAGAUGAGUCUGGAGCACCUUUACCACUGGAAAGGAAGGAAGUACUCUAAAAACACGAAACAAAACACGGCAUCAAUGGGAGUAUGUCAAAGGAGCCAACUGAAAGC